RNAcentral lists this ribosomal RNA (427 nucleotides) under uncultured bacterium. Its description in RNAcentral is "bacterial SSU rRNA". It matches the Rfam family "Bacterial small subunit ribosomal RNA", at positions 355 to 774 of the family's 1533-position model. The record is from RNAcentral.
UCGAGAAUCAUUCACAAUGCGCGAAAGCGCGAUGAUGCGACGCCGCGUGCAGGAUGAAGGCCUUCGGGUUGUAAACUGCUGUCAUGAGGGAACAACAAUGGGGUGCUAAUACCACCCCGGCGAGAUGGUACCUCAAGAGGAAGUCACGGCUAACUCUGUGCCAGCAGCCGCGGUAAUACAGAGGUGGCGAACGUUGUCCGGAUUCACUGGGCGUAAAGGGUGCGUAGGCGGUCAUGUGUGUCGGUUGUGAAAACCCAGCGUCUACCGUUGGGACUGCAUCCGAAACUACAUGACUAGAGUACAGGAGAGGGGAGCGGAAUUCUCGGUGUAGCGGUGAAAUGCGUGGAUAUCGAGAAGAACGCCGGUGGCGAAGGCGGCUCCCUGGACUGAUACUGACGCUGAGGCACGAAAGCUGGGGGAGCGAACA